UACGUAGGGGGCUAGCGUUGUCCGGAAUCAUUGGGCGUAAAGAGCGUGUAGGCGGCUCGGUAAGUCCGCUGUGAAAGUCCAGGGCUCAACCCUGGAAUGCCAGUGGAAACUGUCGAGCUAGAGUCCGGAAGAGGCGAGUGGAAUUCCUGGUGUAGCGGUGAAAUGCGCAGAUAUCGGGAAGAACACCCGUGGCGAAGGCGGCUCUCUGGGACGGUACUGACGCUGAGACGCGAAAGCGUGGGGAGCAAACAGG
RNAcentral lists this ribosomal RNA (253 nucleotides) under uncultured bacterium. RNAcentral describes it as "partial 16S ribosomal RNA". It matches the Rfam family "Bacterial small subunit ribosomal RNA", at positions 524 to 776 of the family's 1533-position model. The record is from RNAcentral.